Molecule: ribosomal RNA, 503 nt
Filed under: uncultured bacterium
Lineage: Bacteria
Description: partial 16S ribosomal RNA
Rfam family: Bacterial small subunit ribosomal RNA
Source: RNAcentral
AUUGAACGCUGGCGGCAGGCUUAACACAUGCAAGUCGAGCGGGGUGAUGGUGCUUGCACUAUCACUUAGCGGCGGACGGGUGAGUAAUGCUUAGGAAUCUGCCUAUUAGUGGGGGACAACAUCUCGAAAGGGAUGCUAAUACCGCAUACGUCCUACGGGAGAAAGCAGGGGAUCACUUGUGACCUUGCGCUAAUAGAUGAGCCUAAGUCGGAUUAGCUAGUUGGUGGGGUAAAGGCCUACCAAGGCGACGAUAUGUAGCGGGUCUGAGAGGAUGAUCCGCCACACGGGGACUGAGACACGGCCCAGAUUCCUACGGGAGGCAGCAGUGGGGAAUAUUGGACAAUGGGGGGAACCCUGAUCCAGCCAUGCCGCGUGUGUGAAGAAGGCCUUAUGGUUGUAAAGCACUUUAAGCGAGGAGGAGGCUCUAUUGGUUAAUACCCAAGAUGAGUGGACGUUACUCGCAGAAUAAGCACCGGCUAACUCUGUGCCAGCCGCCGCCGUAA